Molecule: ribosomal RNA, 418 nt
Filed under: Bacillidae sp. SB0515
Lineage: Eukaryota; Metazoa; Arthropoda; Insecta; Phasmatodea; Bacillidae
Description: partial large subunit ribosomal RNA
Source: RNAcentral
GAAUGCCAUAAUCGAAAGGGAGUUGUGGAUGCUUUGCUGAAGUGUUGCUGUGGGGGGCAGCCGGUCGGCCAAUUGACCCCUCGACCGGUCGAGCCUGCAGUGACGUCUAGAGGCGAGCUUCUCUUCCUGAGUAGAGUCGUUGCGGCCUGUUGACUGCUAAGCUAGGGCCUGCUAUGGGGAAUGCAGCCCGUGAUUAAAAGUGGAUUGAAAAAGCACACGGUCCUCUGGUGGACCUGGCUGGCAGUUGACAGCAAAAAUGGUGAGAACAAUCUGCUAGUUGGAAUGCUAGGCACAGGUGUGUCCGAGCCGACUCUGAAGGACCGCAGCUGGAGGGGAUCCAGUCUGUGCGAAUGAAGUUUCGAUAACUCUGGACUGGAUUGAUUCUCGGUCGCAGCGAUGUAAACGGGAUCUUCUCCCG